UGGGUUAGCUGUGAAGUUCGCCACUGGUUUUUUCUUUCGAAUACCAUGGUGAAACUGGUUAUAUUGACUGAUGCUUCUUUUCUAUCAGUUGGAUUCAAUUAUGUAUAGCAUUUCUUUCAAUGAGAGAGAGUUUGUAGUUUUCAUAAGAUUUUCCUUACUAAGAUUGUUUAUAUUGAUGGCAGGUUAUUUCCUUGCUAAGAUUUUCCAUCCAAACAUUGCAAAUAAUGGUGAAAUUUGUGUUAACACUUUGAACAGGAGGUGGUGCAGAGGAAUAAGUAUAGUCGGCUAUGGCUUAUUUUGAGAUUAAUAAAUGGUGGGACUGUUUAUUAAAGAUCACCCAAAGGUUUGUUUGAGUUUGAUAGGAUGACUUUGGAAAGGUUGAAGAUUGAAGAUUUGUAUAUUGAAGAAGAAAUGAUUUCUUUCUAAUGUAUUAGAUAGAUUUUUUGUUAUUGUUUAUUUAA
This is a long non-coding RNA of Beta vulgaris subsp. vulgaris (sugar beet), 461 nucleotides long. RefSeq lists it as uncharacterized. Lineage: Eukaryota; Viridiplantae; Streptophyta; Magnoliopsida; Caryophyllales; Amaranthaceae. The record is from RefSeq and is a predicted model, not a curated record. The transcript is spliced from 2 exons.